AUUGAACGCUGGCGGCAGGCCUAACACAUGCAAGUCGAGCGGAUGAAGGGAGCUUGCUCCUGGAUUCAGCGGCGGACGGGUGAGUAAUGCCUAGGAAUCUGCCUGGUAGUGGGGGAUAACGUCCGGAAACGGGCGCUAAUACCGCAUACGUCCUGAGGGAGAAAGUGGGGGAUCUUCGGACCUCACGCUAUCAGAUGAGCCUAGGUCGGAUUAGCUAGUUGGUGGGGUAAAGGCCUACCAAGGCGACGAUCCGUAACUGGUCUGAGAGGAUGAUCAGUCACACUGGAACUGAGACACGGUCCAGACUCCUACGGGAGGCAGCAGUGGGGAAUAUUGGACAAUGGGCGAAAGCCUGAUCCAGCCAUGCCGCGUGUGUGAAGAAGGUCUCGGAUUGUAAAGCACUUUAAGUUGGGAGGAAGGGCAGUAAGUUAAUACCUUGCUGUUUUGACGUUACCAACAGAAUAAGCACCGGCUAACUUCGUG
Molecule: ribosomal RNA, 483 nt
Filed under: uncultured bacterium
Lineage: Bacteria
Description: partial 16S ribosomal RNA
Rfam family: Bacterial small subunit ribosomal RNA
Source: RNAcentral